CGAUGCGAAUGUUAUGAAACUCUAGCGGGCCGUCCUCGUGAGCGUCAGCACUCUCACUGGUGUUUUCUCUCGGCAGGUGUGUGGGUGCAAUGUACACCUGAAUGGUGUUAAUUGGUGAGCAGAUUCCUACCAAGUAAAAUCGAUCCAUCAAUCAAUCAGAGUAGGAAAAUAUAAUAAAAAAGAAAAAUUGGAAUGAGAAAGAAAAGGGAAAUGGAUGCUGCGUCGCAAGCCGUCGCGAGGAUUCCUUUGGAUGCUUGUGCGCGUUUCCCAGGCCCGUCGGUCUUCCAUCCCUGAACCGAUAAACGCGGUGACCGGCGCCUUCACAGUAAUUAUGAUUAAUUUUAUAAUCCAGUCUGGUAGUUUUAAGAAGCGAGUUCUUGCAUCCUCGCCUCGGCGGGGGGGGUGGAGUGCCAGCGAGCCCAAGGUCUCCCUGGCGAGCAUGGCAGGAAUGGAGGGCUCCAGGCAGGGCUCCUCGGCGUCCCUCCGGGCCCCGACGGAGGUGCCGGAGAUCUUCCGGCUACAAACCCGGGCAGGUGGAGCUCGUUAGCCGUGGUAGGCAAUCUGCCUAGGAGAGCAAACUCUAUACAAACCCGGGCAGGUGAGGCUCGUUACCCGUGGAAGGUAAUUCACCUAGGAGAGCAAACUCUAUACAAACCCGGGCAGGUGAGGCUCGUAAGCCGUGGAAGGCAAUUCACCUAGGAGAGCAAACUCUAAACAAACCCGGGCAGGUGAGGCUCGUUAGCCGUGGUAGGCAAUUCACCUAGGAGAGCAAACUCUAUACAAACCCGGGCAGGUGAGGCUCGUUAGCCGUGGUAGGCAAUUCACCUAGGAGAGCAAACUCUAUACAAACCCGGGCAGGUGGAGGUCGUUAGCCGUGGGAGGCAAUUCACCUAGGAGAGCAAACUCCGAACAAUAAACCCGGGCAGGUGGAGCUCGUCAGCCGUGGUAGGCAAUUCACCUAGGAGAGCAAACUCUAAACAAACCCGGGCAGGUGAGGCUCGUUAGCCGUGGUAGGCAAUUCACCUAGGAGAGCAAACUCCGAACAACAAACCCGGGCAGGUGGAGCUCGUCAGCCGUGGUAGGCAAUACACCUAGGAGAGCAAACUCCGAACAACAAACCCGGGCAGGUGGAGCUCGUCAGCCGUGGUAGGCAAUCUGCCUAGGAGAGCAAACUCCGAACAACAAACCCGGGCAGGUGGAGCUCGUCAGCCGUGGUAGGCAAUCUGCCUAGGAGAGCAAACUCCGAACAACAAACCCGGGCAGGUGGAGCUCGUCAGCCGUGGUAGGCAGUCUGCCUAGGAGAGCAAACUCCGAACAAUAAACCCGGGCAGGUGGAGCUCGUCAGCCGUGGUAGGCAGUCUGCCUAGGAGAGCAAACUCCGAACAACAAACCCGGGCAGGUGGAGCUCGUCAGCCGUGGUAGGCAAUCUGCCUAGGAGAGCAAACUCCGAACAAUAAACCCGGGCAGGUGGAGGUCGUCAGCCGUGGUAGGCAAUUCACCUAGGAGAGCAAACUCCGAACAAUAAACCCGGGCAGGUGGAGGUCGUCAGCCGUGGUAGGCAAUCUGCCUAGGAGAGCAAACUCUAAAUAAACCCGGGCUUGUGGUGCUCGUUAUACUGUCGUAGACAAUCCACGCGAUGGGAACACCAAAGAAAAGGAAAAUAAAAAACACCACCAGAAAAAUGGAAAAUACAGAAACGAAACAUCAAGAAAAGAAACAAAAAGAUCAUCCACCUUUAGGCCCUAACAUCGCCAAAAUUAUGGGUGGGUCUCUUCUGGGGAGAAAGCGGCUCAUCCAGACCAAAGAACAUCAACAAAAGGAUGAUAUGAAUAAAUUAACAUAAAAAACAAACAAAGAAAAACACAUCAAGGAAAGAAAAAUAUAACAAACAUCAUCCACCUUCCGGCAAUGACUAACAUCACCAAAAUUAUGGGUGGGUCUCUUCUGGGGAGAAAGCGGCUCACCCAGACCAAAGAACAUCAACAAGGGAUGAUAUAGAAAAGAACACCAAAAAAAUAUGGAAAAAGAACAGAAAAAACAUCGAAAAAGAAAAGCAACAGAAAUAAAUGAGCAACAUCGAGAAAAGAGAAAUACAAAGAAACAUCAUCCACCUUUCGGCCCCAAACAACAUCACCAAAAUUAUGGAUGGGUCUCUUCUGGGAGGAAAGCGGCUCAUCCAGUCCAAGGAACAUCAACAAAAGGAUGAUGGGAAAAAAAUAACAACAAAAAACAUCAAAAAGAAGUAAAAAGAAAAAGAACAGGAAAACAUCGAAAAAGAAAACAAAAGCAAUAAAAAGAACGAAAAACACGACAUCAAGAAAAUAAAAUAAAACAAACAUCAUCCACCUUUCGGCCC
Molecule: long non-coding RNA, 2356 nt
Organism: Eriocheir sinensis (Chinese mitten crab)
Lineage: Eukaryota; Metazoa; Arthropoda; Malacostraca; Decapoda; Varunidae
Exons: 6
Source: RefSeq, a predicted model, not a curated record